CGUUGUGUUGCCGCGUCCGGCGAUGACGUCAUAAGCAGGCGCCGCCGCCUGCUCUGGUUGGCCGACACAACGGGCAAACAGAAAUACUUUACAAACAAACAAACGGGACAAAAUAAUGUAUGUAUGUGUGUAUGAAGACAGGGAAUGGGGUCAUGCUGUGGAAAAUGCGUGAGAGACUGUCUAUGAGCUAUCGGAUCCGUGUGUGCACUCACAUUGCCAACAGCAGGAUAACAGAUAAGAAGGAGAAAGUGAAGAAGAAGAAAAAUAAAAGCUGUCGGAAGAAUCUUUAAUUUCACUGCAAGGAAAGAGCAGCUCAGUAGUUCAGCAGAACCAUGCUCUGAUGAUGAUGAGAACGACAUCUAUGAGCAGAAGAUUAUGGUGAAAGAGGAAAAUAAAGAGAUGGGGGAGGAGGAAGAGAUAAAAAAGAUGGAGGAGGAGUUAAUAGAAGAGGUGGAGGAGAUGAUGGAAGUGGUGGAGGUGAUAGAAAAGGAGGAGGAAAUGACAAAAAAUGAGAGGAUGGAAAAAAAGAAGAGAAUAUAAAGAUGGAGGAGGAGAAAAAGAGAAGGAAGGAUAAGACUGAUAAAGUGUGGACAAUGGUGGACGAUGAGCAGCGGAAGGAGAUCGAGUGGCCGAUCUGGAAGCCAAAACCCAUCGCUACUGCUCCCCACAUCCCUGAACAGGGCAAAAGUGAAUAUGUGGUCUUAAAAAUAAGCAAGUUAAAGAAGUUGCAAAGCAAACAAAAGAAGGAGAAGAGAUGCAAGGAAAAGAUCAGUAGACAGAUAACAGUGGCAAAGAUUAUCAGUCUGAAAAUUAAGGAGGAGAAUGAAAAGAUGAGGCUGGAAGAGGAGGAGGAGAGACAAAAGAAAACAACAAGCAGAAGGGUAUUCAGCACAAAGACUUUGAUAGUGAAAAAAGGAGAAAGAGAAGAUGGAGGAAAAGAAAGGAAAGGAAAGCAAAGGAAGGUGAAGAGGAGGAGGAUAACAUAGGGGAGGUAAAGAAGAGGAGGAGGAGGAGCAGAUUGAGAAAUCACAAGAUGAAAGAUGAGAAGGAGGAGGAGAAAAUAGAGAAAGUAAAAAAGAAGAGGAGACCAAGGGGAAAUUCAACAAAGGAGGAGGAGGAAAAGACAGACAAAAAGAAAGAGAAUGCAGAGAAGAAGUGGUGGAGGAAUCCAGAUCCCCACAAAAGAAGUGACAGAAGUCAUCAAUGGCCCCACACCAGACCUGCUCCAAUGCGGAGGCAGCUUUAAGAGCAGGAAAGACUGUCACCUUUUAUUCUGGUGGUGGAGAAUGAGGAGAUGUAAAAUAAUGUAAAUAAAUGUCUGUUGUAAAAAAAAAAAAGGUUUGUUUUUCUGUGUCGAGUUUAUUUGGUCAAUUGUCUGUUUCAAAAGUGUUUAUAUAUUCUUAAUUUCCUCAGAUGACUUUGGAAAGGUGUGUAAAGAUGUGCAACCUUUUCUCUUAUAACAGAUGAGAUAGAGAAAGCGAAGAAGAGAAAAAGAGCCGGAUUGCCUCUUUCUUUAGAGCUGUCGGCAGGAUCUUUAAUUUCACUGCAAGGAAAGAGCAGCUCAGUAGUUCAGCAGGACCAUGCUGAUGAUGAUGAGAACGACAUCUAUGAGCAGAAAAUUAUGGUGAAAGAGGAGGAAGAGGAGAUGGUGGAGGAGGAACAGAUAAAAAAAGAUGGAGGAGGAGCUAAUAGAAGAGGUUGAGGAGAUGAUGGAAGAGGUGAAGGUGAUAGAGAAGGAGAAGGAAAUGACAAAGAAUGAGAGGAUGGAAAAAGAGGAGAAUAUGAAGAUGGAGGAGGAGAAAAAGAGAAGGAAGGAUAAGAUCGAUGAAGGGUGGACAAUGGUGGGAGAUGAGCGGCGGGAGGAGAUUGAGUGGCCGAUCUGAAAGUCGAAACCUAUUGCUACUGUUCCCCACAUCCCUGAACUGGGCUAAAGUGAAUAUGUGGUCUUAAAAAUAAGCAAAUUAAAGAAGUUGCAAAACAAACAAAAGGAGAAGAAGAGACUCAAGGAAAAGAUCAGUAGACAAAUAACAGUGGCAAAGUUUAUCAGUCUGAAAAUUAAGGAGAAUGAAAAGAUGAGGCUGGAAGAGGAGGAGGAGAGACAAAGACUUUGAUAGUGAAAAUGGAGGAGAAAGAGAAGAUAGAGGAAAAGAAAGUCAAGGAAGAUGAAAAGGAGGAGGAUAAAAUAGAGAAGGUAAAGAAGAGGAGGAAGAGAAGGAGACCGAGAAAUCACAAGAUGAAAGAUGAGGAGGAGGAGAAAAAAGAGAAAGUAAAAAAGAAGAGGAGGAGACCAAGGGGAAAUUCAACAAAGGAUGAUGAGGAAAAGACGUGGUGGAGGAAUCUAGAUCCCCACAAAAGAAGUGACAGAAGUCAUCAAUAGCCCCAUACCCGACCUGCUCCAAUGUUGAGGCAGAAGGAAAGACUACAAGGAAGAGCAGUAAAGACUACAAGCUUUUAUUCUGCUGGUUUAAGCAAAUUUAAAGAAAUAGAGAAGGAAAAGACAAAGAAUAAGAAAGAGAAUGCAGAGAAGAAGUGGUGGAGGAAUCCAGAUCCCCACAAAAGAAGUGACAGAAGUCAUCAAUGGCCCCACACCAGACCUGCUAAAAUGUGGAGGCAGCUUUAAGAGCAGAAAAGACUGUAACCUUUUAUUCUGGUGGUGGAGAAUGAGGAGAUGUAAAAGAAUGCAAAUAACUGCCUGUUCUACAAAAAAUGUUUGUUUUUCUGUGUGUUGAGUUUAUUUGGUCAAUUGUCUGUUUCAAAAGUGUUGAAUUACUUGACUGGUGUUGUGUUGCUAGUUAUUCCCUUGAUUCUAAAAAACAAACACGUUCAAAACUUGAAUAUUAUCGUCAUCCUUCCACUUAUUUUAUUUUCAUGCUUUCUUCCCAUUUUAUCCUGAAAAAGACGAUAUGGUAAUGUGUUUUUUUAUUCACCUACUUUACAAUGGCUGAAAAGUUAAGACUAUUAAAGUAUUUACCUAGAACCUAA
This is a non-coding RNA of Danio rerio (zebrafish), 2982 nucleotides long. Lineage: Eukaryota; Metazoa; Chordata; Actinopteri; Cypriniformes; Danionidae. The record is from RefSeq and is a predicted model, not a curated record.